Molecule: ribosomal RNA, 497 nt
Filed under: uncultured bacterium
Lineage: Bacteria
Description: partial 16S ribosomal RNA
Rfam family: Bacterial small subunit ribosomal RNA
Source: RNAcentral
GAUGAACGCUGGCGGCGUGCCUAAUACAUGCAAGUCGAGCGAACAGACGAGGAGCUUGCUCCUCUGACGUUAGCGGCGGACGGGUGAGUAACACGUGGAUAACCUACCUAUAAGACUGGGAUAACUUCGGGAAACCGGAGCUAAUACCGGAUAAUAUAUUGAACCGCAUGGUUCAAUAGUGAAAGACGGUUUUGCUGUCACUUAUAGAUGGAUCCGCGCCGCAUUAGCUAGUUGGUAAGGUAACGGCUUACCAAGGCAACGAUGCGUAGCCGACCUGAGAGGGGGAUCGGCCACACUGGAACUGAGACACGGUCCAGACUCCUACGGGAGGCAGCAGUAGGGAAUCGUCCGCAAUGGGCGAAAGCCUGACGGAGCAACGCCGCGUGAGUGAUGAAGGUCUUCGGAUCGUAAAACUCUGUUAUUAGGGAAGAACAAAUGUGUAAGUAACUAUGCACGGCUUGACGGUACCUAAUCAGAAAGCCACGGCUAACUACGUG